AAACAGUAGUACUGAAGUUGGUAACGUUAUCUGUGACCACCGAGAAACGGAAAAGAAUUAGAUGUCUCAAGUUUAAAAGUGAAAUGAAUAGCAGGAUCAAUAAAAUUACGUAUGUAUAAAGAAGGAAACUUUCAUCGAAAAGACUAGAGAGAUUUAAGGAGAGACACAGACAUACAUAAAGAGGUGGAGAGAGAUAGAGGGAUGAAGAGAAAAAGAAAGGAAGGCAGACAAACUCCGGUUUUCUGAACAUUUCAAAUGAAGUGUACUUCAUGAACUUGAAGAUACUGUGUGUAGAUGUACGUCAAGAUGUCAUAGCUGCCAACUCUCUCAAUUUUAUAUGAAGACUCCCAGUUUUACGCCUCCCCGUCUCCUGGUUGGUCAUCGAAUUUUCCAGUUUUUUAAUUUUUAGCGUUACUAAGGAAAUUAUCCCCAGCAAUUAAUAAAAUUCAUGAAUGAAGGAAACUUAAGUUGUGCAGAUACAUUUCUCCCA
Stegodyphus dumicola is the source of this 490-nucleotide long non-coding RNA. RefSeq lists it as uncharacterized. Lineage: Eukaryota; Metazoa; Arthropoda; Arachnida; Araneae; Eresidae. The record is from RefSeq and is a predicted model, not a curated record.